GAUGAACGCUGGCGGCGUGCCUAAUACAUGUAAGUCGAACGGAGAGCAUUAGCUUCGGUUGGUGCUUUUAGUGGCGCACGGGUGAGUAACGCGUGGAUAAUCUGCCCUUCAGUUGGGAAUAACUCAUCGAAAGGUGGGCUAAUACCGAAUAACGCUGUGAGACCUUGGUCGAUCAGCCAAAGAGAGCCUCUGCUUGCAUGCCCUUGCUGAAGGAUGAGUCCGCGUACCAUUAGCUUGUUGGUAGGGUAAUGGCCUACCAAGGCGACGAUGGUUAGCUGGUCUGAGAGGAUGAUCAGCCACACUGGAACUGAGACACGGUCCAGACUCCUACGGGAGGCUG
Molecule: ribosomal RNA, 340 nt
Filed under: uncultured Pseudomonadota bacterium
Lineage: Bacteria; Pseudomonadati; Pseudomonadota
Description: bacterial SSU rRNA
Rfam family: Bacterial small subunit ribosomal RNA
Source: RNAcentral